AAUGCUGUGGGAAUUGGAUUGGACUAUAGCUGGAACGCUAUUGCGAUUGGAUUUGUUAUUACGAUCAAGUCCAUGUUACAAGCAUGGGCUGGCCCAUUUAAGCCCCAGCUUAACCAGAGUGAAAAGUCCAUAAACCUCCGCGACGAAAUCGAGACACUGGAGCUGGGGUUUUACAGUUUCCAGCAGUCUCCUUGUGACAGAUUUGUUUGACCGUGAGGAUGGCUUAUUUUCUGCAGAAUCUUCUUUCAAGUUUUAAACCCAUUUUAGAUAAUGUUUUAAUUUAGCGUAUGGCAGCUUCUCAUGCGUAUAGGAGGUUUUCAACAUCUUGCUCACUCCUGGGUCAAUCGGUGGUGCAUUCCCCUCUGAUUUAUUUUCCUCGAGGACUGUUAACGCCAGAUUGCUUGGUAUGGAAAGAUUUGAAUUUGCAUUGCAUGACUUUGUGGGUGAUGCAUUGGAUAGGAAAAAUUUAUAGCUGCUGAAAUGAUCGACUUAUACUUGAGAUAUUCAUUUGACGGCUUAAUGCUUAAUCUUUUAAUAUCAUUUAUACCUGGUGAGUUGUUUAUUAUUUUUUUUUUUUUUUUUUGAAUUAAAAAAAUUAU
Long non-coding RNA from Manihot esculenta (cassava), 599 nucleotides. RefSeq lists it as uncharacterized. The record is from RefSeq and is a predicted model, not a curated record. The transcript is spliced from 2 exons. NCBI's taxonomy places the organism in Eukaryota, Viridiplantae, Streptophyta, Magnoliopsida, Malpighiales, Euphorbiaceae.